CAAAUCAUAUAUCAAGCCGAUAAAAUCUUCUGGAAAUCCCAUCUUUCUUAGCACUUUUGUCAAGAAAAGCCAUGAUAAUCUAUCAUACGCUUUUGUCAUAUCUAGCUUUAUCACCACAUUUGGUCCUGCUUUCGUUCUCACCCUGAUAUCCUUAAUGAUUUCUUGUGUUAGCAGAACAUUCUCUACAAUAUUUCUUCCCUUCACGAAACCUGCUUGCUCCU
This 221-nucleotide long non-coding RNA is filed under the name Nicotiana benthamiana. RNAcentral describes it as "long non-coding RNA (NBEN_LNC000647)". The record is from RNAcentral. Lineage: Eukaryota; Viridiplantae; Streptophyta; Magnoliopsida; Solanales; Solanaceae.